RNAcentral lists this ribosomal RNA (478 nucleotides) under uncultured bacterium. Its description in RNAcentral is "bacterial SSU rRNA". It matches the Rfam family "Bacterial small subunit ribosomal RNA", at positions 29 to 507 of the family's 1533-position model. The record is from RNAcentral.
AACGAACGCUGGCGGCGUGCUUAAUACAUGCAAGUCGAACGUGAAGUCUUCAGCAAUGGAGAUGGAAAGUGGCGAACGGGUGAGUAACACGUAAGUAAUCUGCCUCUAAGACUGGGAUAACCUUGCCAACGCGGGGCUAAUACCGGAUGUGGUCCCGAUAAUGCAUAUUGUCGGGAUUAAAGGAGCGAUCCGCUUAGAGAUAAGCUUGCGGCCCAUUAGCUAGUUGGUGCGGGUAAUGGCCCACCAAGGCUGCGAUGGGUAGCCGGCCUGAGAGGGUGAUCGGCCACAUUGGGACUGAGAUACGGCCCAGACUCCUACGGGAGGCAGCAGUAGGGAAUUUUGCGCAAUGGGCGAAAGCCUGACGCAGCAACGCCGCGUGAGGGAUGACGGCCUUCGGGUUGUAAACCUCUGUUGAGUGGGAAAAAAGGGUAGCAAUACUUUGAUGGUACCAUUCGAGUAAGCACCGGCUAACUACGUG